CCGGGCUACGUCUGGAAGGACUGCCAUCGACAAGAUAGGAGGAAGGUGGGGAGUGACGUCAAGUCAUCAUGGCCCUUAUGUCCAGGGCGACACACGUGCUACAAUGGCCGGCACAACGGGAAGCGAGUUCGCGAGGACGAGCGGAAUCCCUACAAAGCCGGUCGCAGUUCGGAUUGAAGUCUGCAACUCGACUUCAUGAAGCUGGAAUCGCUAGUAAUCGUGGAUCAGCCAAGCCGCGGUGAAUACGUUCCCGGGCCUU
Molecule: ribosomal RNA, 259 nt
Filed under: uncultured Synergistaceae bacterium
Lineage: Bacteria; Thermotogati; Synergistota; Synergistia; Synergistales; Synergistaceae
Description: partial 16S ribosomal RNA
Rfam family: Bacterial small subunit ribosomal RNA
Source: RNAcentral